UGCCAAUGAUGCAAUCAUGUUUAGUUGCACGUAUUAACAGAGUAUUGAUGAUGAUUGUCAUUACCUCUGAGGCA
This 74-nucleotide small nucleolar RNA is filed under the name Genlisea aurea. Its description in RNAcentral is "Small nucleolar RNA snoR122". It matches the Rfam family "Small nucleolar RNA snoR122". Lineage: Eukaryota; Viridiplantae; Streptophyta; Magnoliopsida; Lamiales; Lentibulariaceae. The record is from Rfam by way of RNAcentral.